This 253-nucleotide ribosomal RNA is filed under the name uncultured bacterium. RNAcentral describes it as "partial 16S ribosomal RNA". It matches the Rfam family "Bacterial small subunit ribosomal RNA", at positions 524 to 776 of the family's 1533-position model. The record is from RNAcentral.
UACGUAGGCAGUAAGCGUUGUUCGGAAUUACUGGGCGUAAAGGGUGCGUAGGCGGCUUUUUAAGUUUGGUGUGAAAUCUCCUGGCUCAACUGGGAGGGUGCGCCGAAUACUGAGAAGCUAGAGUGUGGGAGAGGAAAGUGGAAUUCCUGGUGUAGCGGUGAAAUGCGUAGAUAUCAGGAGGAACACCAAUAGCGAAGGCAGCUCGCUGGGACGUUACUGACACUAAGGCGCGAAAGCGUGGGGAGCGAACAGG